UUUUCCCGGGGCGUCAUUUUUUACUAUUUUCGUUCAUUCCAUGACUUUGUAAUCCUCAUCUUCAGACUGUCAUUUUACCGUUCUUUGGAAGGACACCUGUUUGCAAUUAUGAAACCUAAAUCCCGGGUGAUCUAUCUAUUGCUAACUCAAGCUCUGACAGAAAAGAAGAAGGAGAUUUGGGGUAAAAAGCAAAGAUGCAGCAGUAGCCUUAUGCUCUGUUAGUUGGUUGCUAGUCUAGUUUAAGUAUUCCGGCGAGCUUCGAGGUCGUCGAAGGUCGUGGUUCGAGGUCUUUGUUCAGUCGCGAUUUUUCGUCGAGGUUCCGUUCGAAGUUCUAAUCAGUAGCUCGUUUGCGUGUUGCUGCACGCUCAUUUGUUACGUAGCAAAUUCAGCAAUAAAGGUUCACAUUUCAUCAUUCUUCUUUACUGUUAUUUAGCUCACUUGAUUACUCUUUCUCACUACUCUAUUUGUUCUAUGAGUUAUAGCAUGAUAAAGUUAAUUGGAUCAUAGUAAUUGUUGAUAUUCAUGAAUUACGUUGUUUCAUUUGUGUUGCAAGUAGUUAGAUCUGAAUGUGUUUAUAUUUUUUUUCAUUAAUAUGUUUAUGUUUUACUUUAUGAAUCGUUCCUGUUAGAACUUGGAAUAAUGAUAUGAAAGGGUUAAGUUCAAAUGUUGUUAUUAGAGAUUUCUCCAAUGUUAGUGUAUCAUGACAGUGAGUUGGAAUUAAUGAACAAUAGGCUUCUACAAUGUUUAACAAGAGAAUCAAAAAUUUAAUUUUUAUUGCUUUUAGUCUUACUAUGAAUUUGGGUCGUAGUGUAUAUCUAAAAUCAAGAAGAAUUGGGCUGACACAAAUUUUUGGUCUUCAGGAAUUAGAUGGAAAUGGGUUCUUUCACGUGUUGGAUUGUAGGGAAGGGGUGGCAUUGAAAGAUAGCAUUUGACACUCAUAACCUUAAUUAAAAUUUGUGAAUUUGAGGUGUGCCAUGAUAACCAAAACCCCUAAGUCCAUGACUGUCAUAUAACUAAUAAUAACUCUUUUCAAAUAUAGGUGUGCCAUUAUUAAAUUUUCAUGGUCCUCCCAAACCUUGUUAUUAAUUUGAGAAGUGCGUAGUUGCUUUGGGCGCGCUAUUUAAAUUAAUUUCCUUAAACUCGGGUGUGCAUUUCAUGUGACCUAACUCCAAUUCUCAACAAUGUUAAAUAAAAUGUGUCAUGGACAGCGGGUGCAUUUCAUGUAGCGUGCCUUGUGAUAUGUUUUAAAUAACCUUGAAUUAAUUCUUUAAAUAAAUAAAAACAGCUAAAAGGUUAAAAAGGGCACAAUAGGUUCUAAACAUGUGUUAAAAUCAGAAAAUAGGUCAAUAAUAAUAGUUGAGUGACCGUACUAAAAUCACGGAACCCGGGAAUGCCUAACACCUUCUCCCGGGUUAACAAAAUUCCUUACCUAGAUUUAUGUGUUCGCGAACUGUAAAACAGAGUCAAUCUUUCUUCGAUUCGGGAUUUAAACCGGUGACUUGGGAUACCAUAAAUUAUCCCAAGUGCCGACUCUGAAUUUUUAAUAAAAUAAUCUCGUUUCGAUUGUCACUUUAAAUUGGAAAAACUCCCUUAUACCCCUGCGGGGGUAGGAAAAAGGAGGUGUGACAGCUCUGGCGACUCUGCUGGGGAUCAAGAACCCAGAAUCUCUGGUUCAGGGUUCAAGAAUUCGAUCUUAGAAUAAUUGUUAUAUUUGGCUUUAUUUAUUAUCUGGUUUUAUUCACAUGUUUAGGCCUAAUGUGCUAAAUGUGACUUUUUACCGCUUCGAUACUGUUUGACCUCUAUAUAAAUUGUUACGAAACCCUCCUCUCUCUGAGUCUUCUAAAUCAUCUGGGAAGUGUGCACUUCGUGUGACUUCUCUUCUGUUAGAGUCAUAUUCCAAUUUUAGAAUGAGGUUCGGACAAGUUGGAAAGCUGGUGAAGCUUCUGUAUUCCCGGUACGCUGCCUCCCUCGGCUCGAGCUGUCCGCUCGGGUAAGCCAGGUCUAGAACAAAUAAACCCAGGUUUUUAUACCUAGAAUAACACAACCUUAUGCCGUAUCCCUAGUAGGAACGCUUGUUUGCAUCACGUGCAUCUGGCUUUGGGGACUCAACACAAGGGUUGGGUCUGUCUAGGACAGGUGUACCCAAAAUAAUAGACCAUCUUGAUGCAUCCUAUGUGCUACAUAUUGCAUUUAUUCAAGGGUAAAAGGGUCAUUUGGCGGACCAAUAGUUGAGGCAUAUGAAAAUAAAAUAAAACAAAAAGAGGGUGAAGUGUGAAAUAAAGCAAGUAGGGCCCAAUUGUAUUUUAUGUCACAUGUUUGUUAAGAAAAACAAGAAAACAUGAAAAAAAAAGAUUUUGCAAUUUUUCAUCAUUUUCCGAAAAUAAAAAAAAAGGAAAAAAAUAAAAUCCAAAAAGAGUUUACAUGUUUCAUCAUUUUUUUAAAAAGGGACAAAAAAUAGAUUUUCUCUAAGUUAGUUGUUUUUAAUUCUCGCCCGUAUCCAAUCUGCCCGAACUACGCAUACCUGAUUCUCGUCUUUCGGGGCGUGAUACGUAGGCAACCCACAUAGUGUCUGGUCUUCCUAGUAAAUCUUAGGUUCUUGGAUUUGUGGGGUGUUAGCCAAAUUUUGCACUUCUAGCCACAUUUUGGCCAAACAAACUAUUUUGCAAAAAUAGCCUCAACCAUGUCUUGCAUGUGUCUAGUAGAGAAUGUUAUUGUCUCACAUAGUGUUGGUUUCAGUUUUCUCAUACAGGUAUGGAUCUACUUACCGGAGUUUGAGCGUGACAGAGCCCAGGACCAUUUAGUCAGGAUCGCUCAUUCAAGAGUGGAUUAAAAGGAGAUUUUCUUUUCUUGUUUAUGUCUUGAGUCUGUUUUCUUUUUUAUGUUGUAUUUUGCCUUCUAGUUUGGUAUAGUAAUGUCGAGUUUUUUUAUUAUUAUUGUACUUUCUGUUUUGUAUUUGAAAAAGUGUGU
RNAcentral lists this long non-coding RNA (2967 nucleotides) under Nicotiana tabacum (common tobacco). Its description in RNAcentral is "long non-coding RNA (NTAB_LNC003436)". Lineage: Eukaryota; Viridiplantae; Streptophyta; Magnoliopsida; Solanales; Solanaceae. The record is from RNAcentral.